This 240-nucleotide unclassified non-coding RNA is filed under the name soil metagenome. RNAcentral describes it as "partial contains 5.8S ribosomal RNA, internal transcribed spacer 2, and large subunit ribosomal RNA". The record is from RNAcentral.
AACCAUAGAAACCUGCGGAGUACCUGCGGAAGGAUCAUUACAGAGUUGCAAAACUCCCUAAACCAUUGUGAGCGUUACCUAAACCGUUGCUUCGGCGGGCGGCCCGGGUCCUUCCCGGCGCCCCUCGGCCCUCGCGGGCGCCCGCCGGAGGUAAACCAAACUAUUGCAUUGUAUGGCCUCUCUGAGUCUUCUGUACUGAAUAAGUCAAAACUUUUAACAACGGAUCUCAGAUCGGAAGAG